This 675-nucleotide long non-coding RNA is filed under the name Rattus norvegicus (Norway rat). RNAcentral's name for it is "long non-coding RNA NONRATT034002". The record is from RNAcentral. Lineage: Eukaryota; Metazoa; Chordata; Mammalia; Rodentia; Muridae.
GUGUGUUUUGAGCCCAGGGAUUAAAGGAGUUUAGUAGGUUUUCAAACCUGGAAGUGGACUUAGACCUUUCACCCUUUCUCAGCACCUUGGCCACACCAGUCAAAAGGAAGACUGGGACAUACAGGUUUACCUCAGAGCCUCAUGCCCGUGCUUUAAUGGCUCAAUGUCGAAGAGGAGGAGAAAGUGGACUGAAGAUAAACUGUAGCCUCUCCUGUGUUGAGCACGGACAGACGGCCCUGGGGGAGCGCAGGAAGAGACUCCUGGAAAGGCUUGACUGGAAAAUUGAUUCCCAUCAGCAAGCAUCCCUUCACCACCCAGGUUUCUCAACUGCACCUAAAUUGCAAGCGAUUCAAAGCGAGUACAAAGGGGCCGUUGCUGCUGCCAAAUUGGCUUAUCCUUGGGAAAUAUGCAGAGAAGUGUUGGAGAGUUUUAGAACAUCCGUACUGAGUGAUCAGUUCGUAAACUUUCAAGUAGCCAUCAUUUGUUACAUUUAGACAUUAACUUUCAAGCGCCAUUUUUCAUCCGGAAUCAAAGAGGAUCACAACGUACUCCACUGUGGGCAGCUAGAGUCAUGAAGACAGGUCAGUAAAUACUUUCUAGAUUCCACACGUAUAAUUCCAGCUCUUCAUGUUUCUUUUAUAUCCCAUUGUAAGUCUUCCCUGCUUUCCAGCUUGC